Molecule: ribosomal RNA, 661 nt
Filed under: uncultured bacterium
Lineage: Bacteria
Description: bacterial SSU rRNA
Rfam family: Bacterial small subunit ribosomal RNA
Source: RNAcentral
AGUGGCGGACGGGUGAGUAACGCGUGAGAAUCUGCCUUCAGGUCGGGGACAACAGAGGGAAACUUCUGCUAAUCCCGGAUGAGCCUUAGGGUAAAAAAUUUAUUGCCUGGAGAUGAGCUCGCGUCUGAUUAGCUAGUUGGUAAGGUAAAAGCUUACCAAGGCAACGAUCAGUAGCUGGUCUGAGAGGAUGAGCAGCCACACUGGGACUGAGACACGGCCCAGACUCCUACGGGAGGCAGCAGUGGGGAAUUUUCCGCAAUGGGCGAAAGCCUGACGGAGCAAGACCGCGUGGGGGAGGAAGGCUCUAGGGUUGUAAACCCCUUUUCUUUGGGAAGAACAAAAUGACGGUACCAAAGGAAUCAGCCUCGGCUAACUCCGUGCCAGCAGCCGCGGUAAUACGGAGGAGGCAAGCGUUAUCCGGAAUGAUUGGGCGUAAAGCGUCCGCAGGUGGCAAUGUAAGUCUGCUGUCAAAACCCAGGGCUCAACUCUGGUCAGGCAGCGGAAACUACAUAGCUAGAGUUCGGUAGGGGCAAAGGGAAUUCCCGGUGUAGCGGUGAAAUGCGUAGAGAUCGGGAAGAACAUCGGUGGCGAAAGCGCUUUGCUAGACCGAAACUGACACUCAGGGACGAAAGCUAGGGGAGCGAAUGGGAUUAGAUACCCC